AUGAGAGAUGCGAGGGAGAAGGAGUGAGUGAGAGAGAUGUGAGGGAGAUGGAGUGAGUGAGAGAGAUGAGAGGGAGAAGGAGUGAGUGAGAGAGAUGUGAGGGAGAAGGAGUGAGUGAGGGAGAAGGAGUGAGUGAGAGAGAUGUGAGGGAGAAGGAGUGAGUGAGAGAGAUGCGAGGGAGAAGGAGUGAGUGAGAGAGAUGCGAGGGAGAAGGAGUGAGUGAGAGAGAUGCGAGGGAGAAGGAAUGAGUGAGAGAGAUGCGGGGGAGAAGGAGUGAGAGAGAUGCGAGGGAGAAGGAGUGAGUGAGAGAGAUGCGAGGGAGAAGGAGUGAGUGAGAGAGAUGCGACAGGGGAGAAGGAGUGAGUGAGAGAGAUGCGGGGGAGAAGGAGUGAGUGAGAGAGAUGCGGGGGAGAAGGAGUGAGAGAGAUAUGGGUCCAAGCCCCUGUUCCCCUGCUGUUAAAUCCCAACAAAAUCCAGACUUGUUUACAGUGGGGGUUCAGCUCAGCCAAAGCCCUACGGUAGAUCCAGUACAGUACUCUGCUUGUGAGC
Oncorhynchus tshawytscha (Chinook salmon) is the source of this 549-nucleotide long non-coding RNA. The record is from Ensembl. NCBI's taxonomy places the organism in Eukaryota, Metazoa, Chordata, Actinopteri, Salmoniformes, Salmonidae.